This is a non-coding RNA of Pseudonaja textilis, 283 nucleotides long. The record is from RefSeq and is a predicted model, not a curated record. Lineage: Eukaryota; Metazoa; Chordata; Lepidosauria; Squamata; Elapidae.
AGAAGAGACUGGACAGCCCCUUGUUUGAAAUGGUAUGGGGGGGGUCUCCUGUUUGAGCAGGGGGUUGGGUUAGAAGAUCUUCAAAGUCCCUUCCAGCUAUAUUCUGUAUUAUAUAGCCUUGUGUGGGCCAGUCCUGCUAUUCAUAAGCACUUAUCCCUAUAAUUUGAACAGCUCAUUCCCCUAUUAAUUAAUUGCAGGACUAGAAAACUGGCCAGUAACAUUUAAUAGAAAAACAGAAUAACAGAGUUGGAAGGGGUCUUGGAGGUCUUCUAAUCCAACCUCC